This 454-nucleotide ribosomal RNA is filed under the name uncultured Rikenellaceae bacterium. RNAcentral describes it as "partial 16S ribosomal RNA". It matches the Rfam family "Bacterial small subunit ribosomal RNA", at positions 341 to 792 of the family's 1533-position model. Lineage: Bacteria; Pseudomonadati; Bacteroidota; Bacteroidia; Bacteroidales; Rikenellaceae. The record is from RNAcentral.
ACGGAAGGCAGCAGUGAGGAAUAUUGGUCAAUGGACGCAAGUCUGAACCAGCCAUGCCGCGUGCAGGAAUAAGGCCCUAUGGGUCGUAAACUGCUUUUGUGGUGGAGCAAUAAGUCGUACGUGUACGGCGAUGAGAGUACAUCACGAAUAAGCAUCGGCUAACUCCGUGCCAGCAGCCGCGGUAAUACGGAGGAUGCAAGCGUUAUCCGGAUUUAUUGGGUUUAAAGGGUGCGUAGGCUGUGGUCCAAGUCAGGGGUGAAAGCCCGGAGCUCAACUCCGGAACUGCCUUUGAUACUGGAUUGCUGGAAUACGGAUGCCGUGGGAGGAAUGAGUAGUGUAGCGGUGAAAUGCAUAGAUAUUACUCAGAACACCGAUUGCGAAGGCAUCUCACGAAUCCGUCAUUGACGCUGAGGCACGAAAGCGUGGGGAUCAAACAUGAUUAGAUACCCUGGUA